GAGGGUAUAGCUCAGUGGUAGAGCAAAUGCUUAGCAUGCAUGAGGUCUUGAGUUCAAUCCCCAAUACCACCA
Molecule: transfer RNA, 72 nt
Filed under: Camelus bactrianus (Bactrian camel)
Lineage: Eukaryota; Metazoa; Chordata; Mammalia; Artiodactyla; Camelidae
Also listed under: 2 other names
Rfam family: tRNA
About the family: Transfer RNA (tRNA) molecules are approximately 80 nucleotides in length.
Source: Rfam by way of RNAcentral